AGAGUUUGAUCCUGGCUCAGAUUGAACGCUGGCGGCACGCCUAACACAUGCAAGUCGAGCGGUAGCAGUGUCAGUAGCAAUACUGACAGCUGACGAGCGGCGGACGGGUGAGGAACACGUAGGAAUCUACUUGAGCGGGGGACAACCAAGGGAAACUUUGGCUAAUACCGCAUACACUCGAGAGAGGAAAGUUGCCGUAA
Molecule: ribosomal RNA, 200 nt
Filed under: uncultured bacterium
Lineage: Bacteria
Description: partial 16S ribosomal RNA
Rfam family: Bacterial small subunit ribosomal RNA
Source: RNAcentral